GGCAAUAUGCAAAUUGCCAAUACAAGCGCCACCUCACUGUCCAUUGUGUGCUAGCCAAAGAGGAGACAGCAGACCCUAUUUUUGUUACAUGUGAGUUGUGACGGCCAAUCUCUAAGUACAUCUGAGUUCGAUGACGAAUGACCUGCAAAAUAAAUUCAUAUUGAUCGAAACGGUAUCCGACAGAAAUCCUCUGAUGUCUAAGUCAGCAG
Molecule: long non-coding RNA, 209 nt
Filed under: Elaeis guineensis (African oil palm)
Lineage: Eukaryota; Viridiplantae; Streptophyta; Magnoliopsida; Arecales; Arecaceae
Description: long non-coding RNA (EGUI_LNC011839)
Source: RNAcentral